RNAcentral lists this ribosomal RNA (765 nucleotides) under uncultured Enterobacteriaceae bacterium. RNAcentral describes it as "bacterial SSU rRNA". It matches the Rfam family "Bacterial small subunit ribosomal RNA", at positions 733 to 1502 of the family's 1533-position model. Lineage: Bacteria; Pseudomonadati; Pseudomonadota; Gammaproteobacteria; Enterobacterales; Enterobacteriaceae. The record is from RNAcentral.
GACAGUACUGACGCUGAGAUGCGAAGCGUGGGGAGCAAACAGGAUUAGAUACCUGGUAGUCACGCUGUAAACGAUGUCGAUUUGGAGUUUGUUGCCUAGAGUGAUGGGUUCCGAAGCUAACGCGAUAAAUCGACCGCUGGGGAGUACGGCCGCAAGGUUAAAACUCAAAUGAAUUGACGGGGGCCCGCACAAGCGGUGGAGCAUGUGGUUUAAUUCGAUGCAACGCGAAGAACCUUACCUGGUCUUGACAUCCAUAGAAUUCUGCAGAGAUGUGGGAGUGCCUUCGGGAACUAUGAGACAGGUGCUGCAUGGCUGUCGUCAGCUCGUGUUGUGAAAUGUUGGGUUAAGUCCCGCAACGAGCGCAACCCUUAUUCUUUGUUGCCAGCGAUUUGGUCGGGAACUCAAAGGAGACUGCCGUUGAUAAAGCGGAGGAAGGUGGGGACGACGUCAAGUCAUCAUGGCCCUUACGACCAGGGCUACACACGUGCUACAAUGGCGUAUACAAAGGGAAGCGAAGGUGCGAGCUGGAGCGGAUCUCAUAAAGUACGUCUAAGUUCGGAUUGGAGUCUGCAACUCGACUCCAUGAAGUCGGAAUCGCUAGUAAUCGUAGAUCAGAAUGCUACGGUGAAUACGUUCCCGGGCCUUGUACACACCGCCCGUCACACCAUGGGAGUGGGUUGCACCAGAAGUAGAUAGCUUAACCGCGAGGGGGGCGUUUACCACGGUGUGAUUCAUGACUGGGGUGAAGUCGUAACAAGGUAACCA